Molecule: non-coding RNA, 812 nt
Filed under: Uroplatus sp. C CMI-2008
Lineage: Eukaryota; Metazoa; Chordata; Lepidosauria; Squamata; Gekkonidae
Description: partial 12S ribosomal RNA
Rfam family: Bacterial small subunit ribosomal RNA
Source: RNAcentral
GGUCCCAGACAUUGUAUUGUCUUAAUUAUAAUCAUACAUGCUAGUCUCCACACACCAGUGAGUAGCGCCCCUUGCCCAGGAGCCGGUAUCAGGCACACCAUCUCAAUGGUAGCCCAAGACACCUAGCCUCGCCACCCCCCCACUGGGUAACAGCAGUAGUAAAUACUAAGCAAUAAGCCUACUAACGCUUGACUUGGUAAUAAUUAAUUUAAGACCGGUAAAUCACGUGCCAGCCACCGCGGUUAUACGUGAGGCCCAAGACAAUAUACUUCGGCGUAAAAUGUGACUAAUGAUUAAUUAAAAGUCGGGGGAAAAACCUAAGAAAAGUUGUAAAAUACGCAGUCCGUCCCACACCCCCUCUACCCCCACUAACCAAUCACCCUGACCUCACGAAAGCUGGGACCCAAACUAGGAUUAGAUACCCUACUAUGCCCAAUCGUAAACAAUGAUACCAUAAAUAUCCGCCAGAGAACUACAACCGACCAGCUUGAAACUCAAAAGACUUGACAGUAUCUCAUACACCCCUAGAGGAGCCUGUCCUAUAAUCGAUAACCCACGCUAUACCUCACCUGCCUUUGCACCAAUCAGCCUAUAUACCUCCGUCGCCAGUUCGCCUGCCAACAGCUACCAAAGCGUAUACACUAGCCCGACCCUCCCACGACAGGUCAAGGUGUAGCUAAUAGGCAGGGCAGAGAUGGGCUACAUUUUCUUUGUUAGAAAACACCAAACGUGCCAUGCAAACCGCACAAGAAGGCGGAUUUAGCAGUAAUUAGGGCAAGAUGCGCCCACCUGAAGAUUACCCUGAGAUGUGU